Clupea harengus (Atlantic herring) is the source of this 1197-nucleotide long non-coding RNA. Lineage: Eukaryota; Metazoa; Chordata; Actinopteri; Clupeiformes; Clupeidae. The record is from Ensembl.
UGAGAGUGAGAGUGAGAGUGAGAGUGAGAGUGAGAGUGAGAGUGAGAGUGUGAGUGUGUGUGUGUGUGUGUGUGUGUGUGAGAGUGUGAGUGUGUGAGUGUGUGAGUGUGUGAGAGUAAGAGUGAGAGUGAGAGUGAGUGUGUGAGUUAAAAUAGGGCAGUCAGGUCAGUGAGGAUCAGGGGGUUCCAGAAUCUGCUAAAAGAGCUCAUCCCCUCCGCAGACGCACAGACACACACACACACACACACACACACACACACACACACACACACACACAGACACACACACACACACACAGACACCAGAGCUGCCAACUCACACGGAUUCGCCGUGUGACACACGCUUUUGCAUGUUUUCACACGCACACAUCCAAUUUCUCACGCCCAAAAAAAUCUGAUUUUGGGCCGAGACGCGUUCGUUCCUUUUCAAACUCCCCGAGGGUAGCUGGCGCUAAGGAGCGCAUCUGUAACCCUAUUCACUGCACAGACAUCUUAUUUACCCCAAGAAGUCCCGAAGUUAGCGACAGAAGAAGAGUUACAAAGAGAGACAAACGCGGUAGAAACUCGGGAAGAGAAUACAUCGAAUACAUCUCCAAACUGAGCAGAGACUAGAUGUGUAUGAACUGCGGCUGGUUGAUGACAAUAUACCUAUAACUUAACAACCUUCCCCAUCUCCCCCAUACCAUGGGCCAGAGGAGCAUGACCACCUGGGUGAGGAGUUUCUGAAUUAUCAGACCAUGCCAACAACCUUCCUUCAGGACUAAACUGAGAUGGAAAGCUUCUGGGCUGGAAUGGCAACACGGAAACAUAAGGUGACAGGAGCCAAAGAAUUUGAGAGGCUUGCUGCCGUCGCCAAGCUGGUCCUGGUGUUGCCCCAUUCGAAUGCAGAUGCUGAGAGGGUGUUCAGUUGUGGGACUGAACAAAACUAAGACCAGAAAUAGCCUGGCAUUGGAUGGCACCCUGUCCUCAAUAAUGGCCAUAAAGAUGGCCGACCUGGAGCCCUGUUUCAGAUGGGAGCCCCCCUCAGAGGUCAUCAAGGCCUCCAAGAAGGCCACUGGCCAGUACAACCUUGCCCACAGAUCUUAGAAAAUGACUAACCAGCUUCUGAUACCUCAUUUUUUGUUAUUUUUGUCAUGUGUUGAUCUAUUGUAUUGCUUAAAAAGGCUACUGUUUAAGCACUUUAUUUGUUGCACUUUUU